GUAAAAUAUGUAAAACGAAGUCCUCGGCAGCUCAUACAAAUUUAUUCAGCCUCCUGUUUCAGGCCUCUUGACAGUUUCAAAAUCAAUUUCUAGCAGGAUUAUUGAUUGAUGAAAUAUAACACAAAGUGCACAUAGUACAGCAGAAAUAUAAAAAAAGUGAAAAAGAAAAAAAAGCUAGGAAGAUGUUUGCCUCUCCAACAUCAUCCUUUACUCAUCAUAGAAGUAACAUAAGCCAAAUAAUGCACGCACUAUCUCUAAACUUGUCAUGGACAGCUGUUCAAACUAUAAAUAAAUACAUGUAUGCCUUGUCUUGUGCACUCUCUAUUUGAUCACAUCGACAAAAACAUCAUCUUCUUCCCCAGGGAAAGCAGUAACAGCUCUUGGAUUUUUCAUUGCCAUACUGCUUGUGUCCAUGUGAUUGAGAAGAUUCAGUUGGUAGGUCUGGCACCUUUGCCGCUCCGCCCUGUUUCUCUUCUCGGACUUUGUUGAAAAUAUGAGUGUACCCAUCAGCUGAUGCAGGGUCGGUCUCAUCCCAUUCGCCAAAUUUUGGAACUGCACUGUGAUCAGGCUGGCAGGACAGAAUAACAACAUGAUCUCAGAAGUUUCAUUGAUUUGUAGUGAAGAUAAUUAUCCUAUACAACUUAGCAGACCAUAAAAUAACUUAAAUUUUACUCUUCUAAGGAAAAAAAUGUGUAUAAAUAAAAGAAAAAUGGAUGGGGAAAAGGAGAGAAAAACACCUAGCGAAUCUCAGGAAAUGUUUUCUGAUUCACAUAUUAGAGAUGGAAAUUAUUAGAAUUUAAGUUUACUGUUUCAUCUAAAGUACUCAAAUGUUUCUUGCAUCCUGCAUUUUACUUGAUGUUCCUAAUGCAUUAUCUUCUUGCAAUUUAGAGAAGCAAUAUUAGAGAUAAAAUCUUGUAAUAUAAAGGCAAUAAAGAGGCAACAACCUACAUAUUUGAGCUUUUCUUUUCUUUUAUUACUAGUGGCCAAAUUACUUUAACCUUUUGCAGUCCCCUGGAGUAGUCAUUAAGUAACCAUAUAUUUUGGAAAAAGCAGAAAGUUUUAAUGUAAAUCUAAAAAUGUAAUAAAAAGAUAGAAAACAAUUACGCUAUCAUUGCCUCUGGUGACUGAUCUCAAUCGGGAUCUUCCAGGAGUCAUGGGAGCCAGGCCGUGAGUACCUUCAGAUGAACCCUUUCUUUCCCAAGACAAAGAAGAUACUGCAUUACCUUUGCCUCCAAUUUUUGGCUGGUUACGUGGGUGUAAAUGCGACUGUUCAGUGCUGAGAUCAGAGGCUGCACUCCACCGCAUAAUCCUUCUGUGGGUAUCACUAGAGCUUACACCACCAUAAUGAUGAAGAUUUGAGUCAGCUGCCACCCUCUGAGCACCGGUAUCAUGGUGCAUUACAGAAUUUGUAGGUCUCCUCAGGCGAUCGCGACCAUGUUCCCCAUGCUCAUGAUUUGCCCUUAAUACUUUUGUAACAUCUCUCUUGCCAACAUCAUCAUGGUGCAAUGAAGAGUCAGUCGAUCUCCUUAAAUCAAUCUCUUCUUGGCUUAAAUGCUCAUGCUUUGACCUCACUGCUUCUGGCACUUUUUGUGCUUCAGUUGGUUUCAUUUGGAAAGAAGAGGCAUGAAUUGGAGGCUUGGUAUUGAAAAUGUCAGGGUUUUCUUCAGAGUAAUUUCGAUUCAUUUUCCCUUCAGUUCUUUCCUUCCUCGCCUUCUCAAAAUAGACCGUGUAUGGGACAUUCUCUUCACUUUCCCAGUUGCCAAACUUGGGCACAGCAGAGCGAUGCUGCAAGGAUACAAUAUGAGAUGAAAAAUUAACACACAAACAGAUAAUGGGCAGCUCAGGCUCUACUUUGCAAUUUUGGAUCAUGAACAGGCAAUUCCAGGACUCACUACUUUGCUCAACCUGUCAAAAGUUUGCCAGUGAUUGAAAAUAUUUUCAUAUAUGUGAGCAUAUACCAUCACACUGAGCUUUUCUUCAUCAAAAAUCAGCUCCUAACCUGCUCUGAUUCUGUACCCGCAAUACCUUCUGCUAUUGAUACCCUCCAUCCAAAGGAAUUACCCAUAUCCCUCUUGAUUGAAUAUGUUCUGUAUUACACAGGUUUCAUCUUUUACCCUACCCAUCUGCUUUUGAUCCCUCCAUCCACGCCUUUUCUAGCAUGAAAGAUCAUUCAUUUCAUUUCCUAAUUUAGUCUGUGAUCAGCGAUCAGCCAAAAAUUUAAAGCUAAAACCACACAUGGUGAAACCCCAAAUGGUGAAACCCCAAAAAGAACUUACUCAGGCAAAUCCUAUCCCAGAUCCCAACUGAUGAAAGAUAAUUCAUCUCAGUGAUUAUAUAUCUGAAAUUCAGAAGGACUAGUGAGCUUUUGCUCCACUUUAUCACCAAAAAGGGGAAAAAAAUAUAUCAGAAGAACUAAGCCUUCUACUAAUAAUACUGUUGCCUCCACUAUUAAUACAAACUGUUCCAAGAAAGCUAAUCCUCCUAAAAUUUA
RNAcentral lists this unclassified non-coding RNA (2491 nucleotides) under Hevea brasiliensis (rubber tree). The record is from RNAcentral. Lineage: Eukaryota; Viridiplantae; Streptophyta; Magnoliopsida; Malpighiales; Euphorbiaceae.